AUUACAGAAACUGCCUAUUUCUCUGUCAAGGCCUUGCCUCAGAAGAUUCGCAGUUGAUCCCCAUGAAAAACAGUGGUUGUUUUCCAGCCCCUCCAGGAAAUACUGGAUGCAUACCUAAUGUCUGCCUGGCUCCUAGCAGCUAAGUAACUAUGCUGAACACAUUUUUCAGCUUGUACCUGACUGCAAGUGAGGAGUCAAACUGUUCCCUCCUUGCAUGGCAUAUCUGGGACACUGCAUGACACUCCUUCCUGGAAGUUUUCCAUUAUCCUUAGAGGCUGAAGAAGUCUCCAUCUACUCUUCACAACCCACUUUCCUCAGGAGAAUUUAAGAAGUGUUUUUCUUCAGGCACUGCAUGACUCCUCAUGAAGAUCAUCAUGAAGGGACAGUCUCAGUCUUUGUCACUGGGCCUUUCGGCUUCACCUUAUUGUUUCCUGCAGAAGAUGAUGUUGGCUAUAGACUGGGAUAAGUGAUGGUCACUGGCUCCACUCACUUGGUGCUGUGCCUCGAGGAAGCCCUUUCAAUCCUGAGUGGGAUAGGUGAUAUAUCUGCACUCUAGGUGU
Molecule: long non-coding RNA, 560 nt
Organism: Cuculus canorus (common cuckoo)
Lineage: Eukaryota; Metazoa; Chordata; Aves; Cuculiformes; Cuculidae
Exons: 3
Source: RefSeq, a predicted model, not a curated record